This 369-nucleotide ribosomal RNA is filed under the name Triticum aestivum (bread wheat). RNAcentral describes it as "partial small subunit ribosomal RNA". Lineage: Eukaryota; Viridiplantae; Streptophyta; Magnoliopsida; Poales; Poaceae. The record is from RNAcentral.
CGACGGGGAUGGCCCAACUAUGGCCUCUGUCCUCUUUGCAAGCGAACCCAAGAAUCUUCGACACACCUUCUCUGUCAGUGUCGUUUCUCUGUGAGGGUCUGGUAUUGCAUUGUGGAGUGGCCUGGCCUCCCAGAUGUCCAAUCCCGGGAUUGGAACCUAAUGGGUAGCGUCAACGAGUGGUGGAUAGGAGUCAUCGAACAGGGACAAUCGAGGAAGGCCAUGUCAUCCAAAAUUAUGUUGAUCUCGUGGGAGCUAUGGAAGGAGCGCAAUUCAAGGGUCUUCCACAACACUGUGACACCCUCUACGGUUGUGGUGCGUAACAUCAAAGAGGAAAUUAGAUUGUGGGUGCUCGCUGCUCGCUGGCGCUAA